GAUGAACGCUAGCUACAGGCUUAACACAUGCAAGUCGAGGGGCAGCGGGAUUGAAGCUUGCUUCAAUUGCCGGCGACCGGCGCACGGGUGAGUAACGCGUAUCCAACCUUCCGUACACUCAGGGAUAGCCUUUCGAAAGAAAGAUUAAUACCUGAUGGUAUGAUGAGAUUGCAUGAUAUCAUCAUUAAAGAUUUAUCGGUGUACGAUGGGGAUGCGUUCCAUUAGGUAGUAGGCGGGGUAACGGCCCACCUAGCCAACGAUGGAUAGGGGUUCUGAGAGGAAGGGCCCCCACAUUGGAACUGAGACACGGUCCAAACUCCUACGGGAGGCAGCAGUGAGGAAUAUUGGUCAAUGGACGAGAGUCUGAACCAGCCAAGUAGCGUGAAGGAUGAAGGUCCUACGGAUUGUAAACUUCUUUUAUAAGGGAAUAAACCCUCCCACGUGUGGGAGCUUGUAUGUACCUUAUGAAUAAGCAUCGGCUAACUCCGUG
RNAcentral lists this ribosomal RNA (490 nucleotides) under uncultured bacterium. RNAcentral describes it as "partial 16S ribosomal RNA". It matches the Rfam family "Bacterial small subunit ribosomal RNA", at positions 28 to 507 of the family's 1533-position model. The record is from RNAcentral.